Molecule: long non-coding RNA, 1095 nt
Filed under: Equus caballus (horse)
Lineage: Eukaryota; Metazoa; Chordata; Mammalia; Perissodactyla; Equidae
Description: lncRNA (ENSECAG00000047528.1)
Source: RNAcentral
GUGAGAUUUAUGAAUAUUGCAAGUAUACCUGUAAAUACAUUAAUAAGGCCCUUACACAACACACAUAUCCAGCUCCUAUUAGGCAGCAUCUUACCACGCCUCCUGGGGGCCAGGUGGGAUUAAAAACUAAUCCUACCUGAGUCAAGGAUUCAGUGAGGCAUGGUGGGAGGAUCCCAAGCCAAUAGACCUGAGUUCAAACACUUGUCCUACCACUUAUGGUCUGUGUGACACUAGAUGCUUGAGGAUGUUCCCAAAGGAUCAUCACAUCUUAAUGGUCAUAUCGAGUUGAUCACCUUCACCUGGAAAUCCUGUGCAUCUCUGGACUUCUCAAUACUCCAUAGUAACCUGGACUUCUAAGAAUACAAAGAUGGCACAAUAGGAUCAACAGUGGAUGAACUGGGAAUGACUUCCAGAAGAACAACAUUCGGGUAUCCAAGUGAUAAAAGCAGAACACCAAACUGACGUUUCGGUGCCACCAUCUUAGUGCUGCCAGUGUUUAUCCAAGCAAGUUCCACAGAUGCCAUCUACGACACACUCUAAGUGCAAAGCAGGAAUUGCAGGCUUCCCUUACACUAUUUAAGUUUUUAUCACUUUCUUUUCUUCAGCCAAAGGCAGAUAUAGCUGAAUUAGUUUAUGCUAGAAAAUAGAAUCAUAAGACAUUUCCAAAAUGGGAAGCAGUUAAAGGUGUCAGUUCUCACGCUGCAACAUUAUGAUGAAUACACAUCAGAAUCUUAUCAGAAGUAUUUCAAGUUUAAAGUUAGAACUGUUCUUGGCUGUCAAAGCCCAAAGUGUAGGGGGAUGGACAUUGCUCAAGAAUAAUGUCACCUAAGGGUCAGAAUCCAGCAAAAAUUGACAGUGGAACUCCUUCUGUUACUACAGGAGUCAAGAAGUCCCACAACUACUUCUGCUGCUAAGUUCUUAAAAUUUGUGCUGAUCACGAGUUUCUUAGGGACGUUCUUUCUCAUGAUGUCUUAUGACAUUCUUAAUUAUGCCAUUAUGUCAACUAUGCUGGAGUCUUCUGUUCAAAUAUUAUUCCUAAAAGUUUGUCCAACACCCUAGGAGAACAAUACUGAAUCUAAAACUCCUGAGCCAUAU